UCCCGAGUCAGACGUAGCAACAAGUCUUAAAGAGUCGCAAGUCCCCCAACAGUAUGAGGAGAGCGGCGGAACAGAUAGAAAUGUCUGCACAGCAGCAGCAGGUACCUGCACUGAACAACGGGGAGAAAAAUCUGCGGCGUCUCCAGCUGCAGAGCUGAAGCCAAAACCCGCCAGCCUCAGCCGGAGCGCACCGCCGAGCGUUG
RNAcentral lists this long non-coding RNA (203 nucleotides) under Octodon degus (degu). RNAcentral describes it as "FTX transcript, XIST regulator conserved region 5 (ENSODEG00000025001.1)". It matches the Rfam family "FTX transcript, XIST regulator conserved region 5". Lineage: Eukaryota; Metazoa; Chordata; Mammalia; Rodentia; Octodontidae. The record is from RNAcentral.